UAGCUCUCAUCCUUUUAAAAAUACGUUUCCUGGGUUCUGUUUUUUGGUAGAGGUCACAUAAAGGUGAUAUUUUUGUCGUGGGACCAACAGGUGAAAAACUGUUGUGUAAAAAACUUUGUGCCACCAGAGCCCCAUUCUACCUCGAGUGCCAACCAAAGCAUAGAAUUCACUUCCACCUCUCAGUCUGCUUUUCCUCUUCUUUAUUUCUCCAUGAGGAAGUUUAGUUUUUCUCAGUCAUUUCAAGUUGUGUGCUUAGAAAGUCAGGAAGGACGCCCAGGACAUUCAACGUCUCUGAGGAUGCCGUGAGCAGGAAGUGGAUGUGGCAGGAAAACAGAUUUAUGGUCAGCGAGACAAACCCUAAUCAUUAAUGCCACAAAGUAACAGCAGAAGCCAACGUGUUCUGAAGGAUUGAAUUGCUUCAGUGGCAAAGAGGAGAGACACCCCACCCCUCCCAAAAUUCAGCCUGGUUGGGGAAAACACAAGAUGCUGAUUAGAGCUGCUCCAGUGACUGCCUGGUUUAUAUUCCACAAAGAUUUAUUUCA
Molecule: long non-coding RNA, 542 nt
Organism: Corapipo altera (White-ruffed manakin)
Lineage: Eukaryota; Metazoa; Chordata; Aves; Passeriformes; Pipridae
Exons: 3
Source: RefSeq, a predicted model, not a curated record